UGGCACAGAAAGACUGCUGAGUCUCUAA
RNAcentral lists this non-coding RNA (28 nucleotides) under Mus musculus (house mouse). The record is from RNAcentral. Lineage: Eukaryota; Metazoa; Chordata; Mammalia; Rodentia; Muridae.